This 582-nucleotide long non-coding RNA is filed under the name Sus scrofa (pig). Its description in RNAcentral is "lncRNA (ENSSSCG00070021677.1)". The record is from RNAcentral. Lineage: Eukaryota; Metazoa; Chordata; Mammalia; Artiodactyla; Suidae.
UCACAGCAUCGUAUAUAUGUAUGAUGUAAUGCAUGUAGCACAUGGCACAAUGCCUAGAACAUAGUAUUUUCUCAGCAAAUGUUAACACUUUACUGCUUCUACUACUGUUAUAAAUAAUAAAGACUAUCAUGCUAGUUGUUAUUUGAUCUAUAACUGAGCUUACUCUUUUCCAUCCUCCACAGAACCAGCAAACAUUCCAGAAUUCAGGAUGUUCCUGCAAAAGGGGAAGAACUCUGUAAUUUUGUCAAGAUGAUGCCACCACAGUGAAAUGGUGUGUUCCACCUCCAGUUAUUAAUUACCUGGCUUAUUUCACAUAACUGAUCAACUUUGCCUGGCAUGAGAAUGCCCUCCUGCCCCCUGAAUCCAAGUAGAGACCCAGAGAAAUGAGAUGUUGAGUCACAGCAGCACUGAUUUCCUGGUCUAGUCCAUGAGACUCAGGUUCCACAGUUCUUUCAGUUUUCUGAGCCACUCCUGGGCCUCUCCCAGCUGGUCCUGAUUCCCAGUGGACGGACUGAUUGUUUACUUAACAUUCUGCUCUGGGGGCUAUACCAAAAAGCUCAGAAGCCAAGACCCUGAUCAAAG